This 487-nucleotide ribosomal RNA is filed under the name Buddenbrockia sp. SH-2006. RNAcentral describes it as "SSU rRNA". It matches the Rfam family "Eukaryotic small subunit ribosomal RNA", at positions 489 to 933 of the family's 1831-position model. The record is from RNAcentral. Lineage: Eukaryota; Metazoa; Cnidaria; Myxozoa; Malacovalvulida; Saccosporidae.
UACUCUUUGAGCAAAAGACCGGAAUGGACGAAAUUCAGGUCCAUUCGUGAAAACUAGCGAGGGGCAAGUCUGGUGCCAGCAGCCGCGGUAAUUCCAGCCUCGCAUGUAAAUGUAAAAUUUGUUGCAUUUAAAAAGCUCGUAGUCGGACAGUUUCACGACAUUUUGUUCAAAGCCAGCUGCAACUCGGCUAGCCAGUUACGAAGGGUUUUGAACUGGUCAAUUAGUCGUUGCAACUGGAUGAAUAGUCGUGAACAAUCACAAGUUUCGCUUAUACACUUAAUUGUGUGUAGGACUGAAAAUUUGUGGACGUACCUUGAACAAAUCGGUUUGUUCAAAACAGGCCAUAUUGAGCGCCUGGACAUUCGGGCAUGGACUGAUCGAUCGAGACCUGAUCGUUUGGUCGGAAACGAGUAAGGUCCANGUCAAAAGGGACAUUUGGGGGCAUACGAACUCGGCAGCGAGAGGUGAAAUUCUAAGACCUGCCGAG